RNAcentral lists this unclassified non-coding RNA (329 nucleotides) under soil metagenome. Its description in RNAcentral is "partial contains 5.8S ribosomal RNA, internal transcribed spacer 2, and large subunit ribosomal RNA". The stretch from base 1 to 120 matches the Rfam family "5.8S ribosomal RNA", at positions 35 to 154 of the family's 154-position model. The record is from RNAcentral.
GAUGAAGAACGUAGCGAAAUGCGAUAAGUAAUGUGAAUUGCAGAAUUCAGUGAAUCAUCGAAUCUUUGAACGCACAUUGCGCCCCUUGGUAUUCCGAGGGGCAUGCCUGUUCGAGCGUCAUUAUAACCCCUCAAGCUCAGCUUGGUGUUGGGGCCUGCUGCACUGGCAGCCCUUAAAAUCAGUGGCGGCGCCAUCUGGCUCUAAGCGUAGUAAUUCUUCUCGCUAUGGAGUCCUGGUGGAUGCUUGCCAUCAACCCCCAAUUUUUCUAUGGUUGACCUCGGAUCAGGUAGGAAUACCCGCUGAACUUAAGCAUAUCAAUAAGCGGAGGA